This 93-nucleotide long non-coding RNA is filed under the name Anolis carolinensis (green anole). RNAcentral describes it as "lncRNA (ENSACAG00000030797.2)". Lineage: Eukaryota; Metazoa; Chordata; Lepidosauria; Squamata; Anolidae. The record is from RNAcentral.
UCCCCUCAUUGGUUGAAAGGAAGAAACUUUAAAAUUAUUUAACCUCUGGAACAAGAUCACAUCAAAUGACUUUCAAGGCAAAUGAACCUCCUU